RNAcentral lists this ribosomal RNA (483 nucleotides) under uncultured bacterium. RNAcentral's name for it is "SSU rRNA". It matches the Rfam family "Bacterial small subunit ribosomal RNA", at positions 26 to 518 of the family's 1533-position model. The record is from RNAcentral.
AGGACGAACGCUGGCGGCGUGCCUAACACAUGCAAGUCGAACGCGCUCCAUUCGGUAGCAAUACUGAUGAAGAGCGAGUGGCGAACGGGUGAGUAGCACGUGAGCAACCUGCCCCGAAGACUGGGACAACACCGGGAAACCGGUGCUAAUACCGGAUAUCCCUAUCGGAUCGCAUGAUCUGAUAAGGAAAUGUUUUUCGCUUCGGGAGGGGCUCGCGGCCUAUCAGCUAGUUGGUGGGGUAAUGGCCUACCAAGGCAUCGACGGGUAGCUGGUCUGAGAGGACGAUCAGCCACACUGGGACUGAGACACGGCCCAGACUCCUACGGGAGGCAGCAGUGGGGAAUCUUGCGCAAUGGGCGAAAGCCUGACGCAGCAACGCCGCGUGGAGGACGAAGGCUUUCUGAGUUGUAAACUCCUUUCAGCAGGGACGAUUGUGACGGUACCUGCAGAAGAAGCACCGGCCAACUACGCGCCAGCAGCCGA